Myotis daubentonii (Daubenton's bat) is the source of this 2517-nucleotide long non-coding RNA. RefSeq lists it as uncharacterized. NCBI's taxonomy places the organism in Eukaryota, Metazoa, Chordata, Mammalia, Chiroptera, Vespertilionidae. The record is from RefSeq and is a predicted model, not a curated record. The transcript is spliced from 2 exons.
AGAGGAGUAUUAUUCUCUUACUCUACUCAGUGAAGCAUAAUAGACUAAUCACAGGUUGAAACAUUUUGAGUGCCUUUGUUCUAAUUCUAAGAGAGAUACUUCAGGGAAUACUAGAUACUGUCUUAAAGUAAUGCAACCAAUUAUAAUAACUAGAAAACACAAUUUUUAUUUUUAUUGUCAUAUGAAUGGAAAAUAUUCUUUUAGAUGAGUUCUUUCCUGAGAUGAGUCACUGGAGAUCUAUUUUUUUCAAAGGAGAUACAUGUAUGUAUGAAGAACUAAGUUCAUAACACUGGUAAAGUUCAAUUGAAAUCCAUCAAUGUUUUCUAGAUAAAGUAAUUUAUACCAAAGGCAUAUCUAUGUGCCUAUUAUAGGUCAUGUAUAUGAUACAUAUAUAAUUUUUAACAACCCAGAGAAACCAGAGAUCCAAUUCUUUUUCUAAAUUUCUUUAAAGUUAGACAUUAUCUGACAAAUAAAAAUACCACCUUAUGCAAAUUAAUAGUUGUUAAUGAGAAAAUCAAAAUAACUUCUAAAACAAUAUAGAAAACACUGAAGUUUGAUUUCUUAAUGAGUUUUUAAUUACUCAUUCCAUUCAACUGAUAAAUACUUGCAGUUUAACAAGGGACACAAACAUAGAAUAAUAUUCAUGAAUACUAGUGUGGCCUCCAAAACAAGAUAAAAUGGUUUCAUCUGAUUAAAAAAUUGGCAUUAUUAGUUUUUUACUAAUAAUUUCUUCAGUUUACAAAGGAGAAUUAGCUAUGAGUAUCUAUAAAUAGUAGGUUCUCAGAAGGCAUUUGAAGUGGGUAUUAAAACAGGCUCCAACCAGGGCCUUUGCCUUGAGCACACUAGAUUUAUGUGGCAAAUAUAACAGAUAAUAUGCAAAUCAUGUAACUCUUGGUUAUAACAUUGAAUAACAGUUUAACCUAAGUAUUCCAAAUAGUCUCAACAUUAGUAUAACAAUGGUCUCUUCCUUAGUAUGUCUAUGUCGUGUCUUUUCUGUGAAUGCAUAUGUAUUAUAAUAGACACUACUGGUAUUCAGUUCUUCAAGUAUUGAUACACCCACACACUCAUUCUCUUUGCACUAUCCAGGCCAAAGUUUUCUUCCUUAAAAGGAUCUAAUUACGCUAAUUCCUCAUUGAAAAUAUUCACUGACUUCCAGUCACUUAUUAUAGUGAUUCUCAACUAUAGCUGCACUUUAGAAUCUCCAAGUAAGCUUUUCAAAAGCACCUUUAACUUUAUUUGGUCUACUUUUCUUAUUAAUGCCAGCACAUAGUAGUAGGAGUCUGAAAUGGUGUUAAAGCAUCAAUUCUUACAACUUGCUUCUCUCUGUCCAACACUGUCAUAUAUUCAUCUUAUGUUCCAGUCAUGUAAAUCAAUUUUCUACCCAAAUUUUCACCUUUGGAUACCAGUCCCAUUUAUAUCUCAACCUUUAACACUCAGCCAAACAUCAUUUCUAUGCCUUCCCUGCAUCGUCCAGGCAAUUAUUUGCUUCCCCUAAGGUUCACCAUGCCUUUUGUGCACAUUUGAAUUGCAAUAGUGUGUUGUUCUAUAAUUCCAACUCUCCUACAAGUCUGGGAGCCACCUGAGGUGGGUCAAUAGCAUUUCUUGAACUGAAAGUUCAAUGAUUUGUUCUAUAUUUUUGGUAUUACUGUGGAUCUCUCUCAUUCUUUUGUUACAUCACUCCAUGUCUCUGCACACAUGACUUUAUCACCUUAUCUUUCCAUGGUCCCUCUCUCUAUCUCUUCAUUUCUCUUUACCUUUUUUUAAUUUUCCACAUUUUCUUCCUACUUUGUGAGAUAUCUCCUUGUACUGAUUAUACCAUAGGGGAAUGUAAGUACAUUUUAUAUUUAUUAAGAACACCUAAUGCUCCUUGUUCUAAAUGUUUAAAUUGAAUGAAUGGAAUAUCAUUUUCCUCCCUAAGGAAAAUUCAGAGAAUAAAAUUGUUUCUUUAUAGGUAAGUAGCCCUAAAUUGUUUGUAUUAUAAAACUCAGUAUAUAAGUUUUUCUGAUUUCUGAUUUCAUUCAACAAGUAUUUAUUGAGUACCUGCUAUUAUUGCCAAAAAAAAGUGCUAGUAAGCAUUAUUCUUCUAUGUUAUUGUUCCUUGUAUCUCAAGAAAGUUACAGUCCGAUAGUAAGUUUAAGUCGCAGUGCCUUAAAUAGGAGACACUCAAAUUUUUGUUGAAUGUACAAAUGAAAAAUACAAUGUGAUUUUUGAUAGUUCAAAGGAUUGUUUAUGUAUAACUUUACUGAGGCAAAUGCAGCACAACAUAAGAUACUAAUUUUAAAAUAAAUAUCAAAUAAUUCCUUAGUUUAGUCAUAUCAGAAUUCAUUUGCAUUAAAUCUGUGUGUAUAUUUGUUGAAAAGCUUUCAAUGUCUUUUUCCCAAAAAUUUCAUCCCAAUAAAUGCAUUUUUUAAUUUCAUAUAUAAUAAAGAAAACCUACCAAUGUGGGAAUGAUAUCUCCCAGAAUGAAUUGUGUGACAUAGGUAAAUGAAUGUAGGUGUGUCCAAAAAUAAAAACAAU